Molecule: ribosomal RNA, 1396 nt
Filed under: uncultured bacterium
Lineage: Bacteria
Description: 16S ribosomal RNA
Rfam family: Bacterial small subunit ribosomal RNA
Source: RNAcentral
AGAGUUUGAUCCUGGCUCAGGAUGAACGCUAGCUACAGGCUUAACACAUGCAAGUCGAGGGGCAGCAUGGUCUUAGCUUGCUAAGGCCGAUGGCGACCGGCGCACGGGUGAGUAACACGUAUCCAACCUGCCGUCUACUCUUGGACAGCCUUCUGAAAGGAAGAUUAAUACAAGAUGGCAUCAUGAGUCCACAUGUUCACAUGAUUAAAGGUAUUCCGGUAGACGAUGGGGAUGCGUUCCAUUAGAUAGUAGGCGGGGUAACGGCCCACCUAGUCUUCGAUGGAUAGGGGUUCUGAGAGGAAGGUCCCCCACAUUGGAACUGAGACACGGUCCAAACUCCUACGGGAGGCAGCAGUGAGGAAUAUUGGUCAAUGGGCGAGAGCCUGAACCAGCCAAGUAGCGUGAAGGAUGACUGCCCUAUGGGUUGUAAACUUCUUUUAUAAAGGAAUAAAGUCGGGUAUGCAUACCCGUUUGCAUGUACUUUAUGAAUAAGGAUCGGCUAACUCCGUGCCAGCAGCCGCGGUAAUACGGAGGAUCCGAGCGUUAUCCGGAUUUAUUGGGUUUAAAGGGAGCGUAGAUGGAUGUUUAAGUCAGUUGUGAAAGUUUGCGGCUCAACCGUAAAAUUGCAGUUGAUACUGGAUAUCUUGAGUGCAGUUGAGGCAGGCGGAAUUCGUGGUGUAGCGGUGAAAUGCUUAGAUAUCACGAAGAACUCCGAUUGCGAAGGCAGCCUGCUAAGCUGCAACUGACAUUGAGGCUCGAAAGUGUGGGUAUCAAACAGGAUUAGAUACCCUGGUAGUCCACACGGUAAACGAUGAAUACUCGCUGUUUGCGAUAUACAGCAAGCGGCCAAGCGAAAGCGUUAAGUAUUCCACCUGGGGAGUACGCCGGCAACGGUGAAACUCAAAGGAAUUGACGGGGGCCCGCACAAGCGGAGGAACAUGUGGUUUAAUUCGAUGAUACGCGAGGAACCUUACCCGGGCUUAAAUUGCAGAUGAAUUACGGUGAAAGCCGUAAGCCGCAAGGCAUCUGUGAAGGUGCUGCAUGGUUGUCGUCAGCUCGUGCCGUGAGGUGUCGGCUUAAGUGCCAUAACGAGCGCAACCCUUGUUGUCAGUUACUAACAGGUCAUGCUGAGGACUCUGACAAGACUGCCAUCGUAAGAUGUGAGGAAGGUGGGGAUGACGUCAAAUCAGCACGGCCCUUACGUCCGGGGCUACACACGUGUUACAAUGGGGGGUACAGAGGGCCGCUACCACGCGAGUGGAUGCCAAUCCCAAAAACCUCUCUCAGUUCGGACUGGAGUCUGCAACCCGACUCCACGAAGCUGGAUUCGCUAGUAAUCGCGCAUCAGCCACGGCGCGGUGAAUACGUUCCCGGGCCUUGCACACACCGCCCGUCA